CAUAUACUCCCUCCGUUCGAAAAUACUUAUCGAAGAAAUAGAUAAAAAAUGGAUGUAUUUAAAACUAAAAUACAUCUAGAUACAUCCAUUUCUCUUACAAGUAUUCUCGGACGGAGGAAGUAUAUA
Non-coding RNA from Triticum aestivum (bread wheat), 126 nucleotides. NCBI's taxonomy places the organism in Eukaryota, Viridiplantae, Streptophyta, Magnoliopsida, Poales, Poaceae. The record is from Rfam.